RNAcentral lists this ribosomal RNA (502 nucleotides) under uncultured bacterium. RNAcentral describes it as "partial 16S ribosomal RNA". It matches the Rfam family "Bacterial small subunit ribosomal RNA", at positions 30 to 523 of the family's 1533-position model. The record is from RNAcentral.
AUUGAACGCUGGCGGAAUGCUUUACACAUGCAAGUCGAACGGCAGCACGGGUGCUUGCACCUGGUGGCGAGUGGCGAACGGGUGAGUAAUAUAUCGGAACGUAUCCAAUAAUGGGGGAUAACUAAUCGAAAGGUUGGCUAAUACCGCAUACGCCCUGAGGGGGAAAGCUGGGGAUCUUCGGACCUAGCGUUAAUGGAGCGGCCGAUAUCUGAUUAGCUAGUUGGUGAGGUAAAAGCUCACCAAGGCGACGAUCAGUAGCUGGUCUGAGAGGACGACCAGCCACACUGGAACUGAGACACGGUCCAGACUCCUACGGGAGGCAGCAGUGGGGAAUUUUGGACAAUGGGGGCAACCCUGAUUCAGCCAUUCCGCGUGAGUGAAGAAGGCCUUCGGGUUGUAAAGCUCUUUCGCAAGGGAAGAAAACUUAGUCUCUAACAUAGACUGAGGUUGACGGUACCUUGAUAAGAAGCACCGGCUAACUACGUGCCAGCCGCCGCCGUAA